AGAGUUUGAUCAUGGCUCAGAAUGAACGCUGGCGGCAGGCCUAACACAUGCAAGUCGAACGGGUCCUUCGGGACUAGUGGCGGACGGGUGAGUAACGCGUGGGAACAUACCCAAAGGUACGGAAUAGCCUCGGGAAACUGAGAGUAAUACCGUAUGUGCCCUUCGGGGGAAAGAUUUAUCGCCUUUGGAUUGGCCCGCGUUGGAUUAGGUAGUUGGUGGGGUAAUGGCCUACCAAGCCGACGAUCCAUAGCUGGUUUGAGAGGAUGAUCAGCCACACUGGGACUGAGACACGGCCCAGACUCCUACGGGAGGCAGCAGUGGGGAAUCUUAGACAAUGGGGGAAACCCUGAUCUAGCCAUGCCGCGUGAUCGAUGAAGGCCUUAGGGUUGUAAAGAUCUUUCAGAUGGGAAGAUAAUGACGGUACCAUCAGAAGAGCCC
RNAcentral lists this ribosomal RNA (438 nucleotides) under uncultured Pseudorhodobacter sp. Its description in RNAcentral is "bacterial SSU rRNA". It matches the Rfam family "Bacterial small subunit ribosomal RNA", at positions 8 to 492 of the family's 1533-position model. The record is from RNAcentral. Lineage: Bacteria; Pseudomonadati; Pseudomonadota; Alphaproteobacteria; Rhodobacterales; Paracoccaceae.